CCCGCCACACUCACUCUUGGUUUCCCGCCAUCGCCAAUUCCGCGGCGUAAAUAUAUUAGCAACGUUUGUAUGUAAUCGCACCAAAACAGAACAACUACUGUCUCUACUCCUUACCCAAUGGUCGAAGAAAACAAGCUGCCUGAGCUAAAGCUCGAUGCUAAGCAGGCUCAGGGAUUUCUCUCUUUCUUCAAAACCCUACCCUAUGACCCCAGGGCGGUUCGGAUAUUUGAUAGGCGGGACUAUUACACUUCGCAUGGUGAAAAUGCAACCUUCAUUGCAAUGACCUAUUACCAUACUACUACUGCUUUGCGACAAUUGGGUGGUGGAGCUGAUGGCCUUUCCAGUGUGAGCAUUAAUAAGAACAUGUUUGAAACAAUUGCCCGAGACCUUCUAUUGGAGAGAACAGACCAUACUCUUGAACUCUAUGAGGGUAGUGGGUCCAACUGGAGACUGGCGAAAAGUGGGACUCCUGGCAAUCUAGGCAGUUUUGAAGAUGUUUUGUUUGCCAACAACGAAAUGCAGGAUUCCCCUGUGGUUGUUGCACUCAUUCCAAAUUUCCGUGAAAAUGGUUGCACUGUUGGUUUAAGUUAUAUCGAUUUAACAAAAAGAAUUAUUGGGUUGGCCGAAUUUGUUGAUGAUAGUCACUUUACAAAUGUGGAGUCAGCUUUGGUUGCUCUUGGUUGCAAGGAAUGCCUUUUGCCCGCAGAAACUGGUAAAUCCAGUGAGUGUAGAACAUUGCAUGAUGCCCUGACUAGAUGUGGUGUGAUGUUGACUGAGAGAAAGAAAAGUGAGUUCAAAACAAGGGAUUUGGUGCAGGAUCUUGGUAGGCUCGUCAAAGGUUCCAUUGAACCAGUUCGAGAUUUAGUUUCUGGAUUUGAAUUUGCACCUGGUGCUUUAGGGGCAUUACUUUCUUAUGCAGAAUUACUUGCAGGUGAGAGCAAUUAUGGAAAUUAUACAAUCAGAAGGUACAAUCUUGACAGUUAUAUGAGGCUGGAUUCUGCUGCCAUGAGGGCUCUUAAUGUCCUUGAAAGCAAAACUGAUGCAAAUAAAAAUUUUAGUUUAUUUGGCCUCAUGAAUAGAACAUGUACAGCUGGGAUGGGAAAAAGGUUGCUUCAUAUGUGGCUAAAACAGCCCUUGCUGGAUGUAAAUGAAAUCAACUCUAGACUGGACUUGGUACAGGCUUUUGUGGAAGAUACUGCCCUUCGCCAAGACCUAAGGCAACAUCUAAAAAGGAUCUCGGAUAUUGAGCGACUGAUGCGCAAUCUUGAGAAGAAAAGAGCUGGUUUGCAGCAUAUUGUAAAACUUUAUCAGUCGAGUAUAAGACUCCCAUACAUUAGAAGUGCUCUGGAGCGGUAUGAUGGACAAUUUUCAUCCUUAAUCAAGGAAAGGUAUUUGGAUCCCCUUGAGUCAUUGACUGAUGAUGAUCACUUGAAUAAGUUCGUUGCUCUGGUAGAAGCUUCUGUUGACCUUGAUCAACUUGAGAAUGGGGAGUAUAUGAUUUCACCAAAUUAUGACCCUGCACUAUCUGCACUGAAAGAUGAACAAGAGUCAUUGGAGCGCCAAAUACACAAUUUGCAUAAACAAACUGCAAAUGAUCUUGAUCUUCCUCAAGAUAAAGGAUUAAAGUUAGAUAAAGGAACACAAUUUGGACAUGUCUUCAGAAUUACAAAGAAAGAAGAGCCAAAAAUAAGGAAAAAGCUGACCACCCAAUUUAUUGUCCUUGAAACCCGAAAGGAUGGAGUAAAAUUCACAAACACAAAACUUAAGAAGUUAGGGGAUCAGUACCAAAAGAUAGUAGAGGAAUACAAGAAUUGUCAGAAAGAGCUGGUCAAUCGAGUCAUUCAAACUGCAGCAACUUUUUCUGAGGUGUUUGAGUCUUUAGCUGGCAUGCUUUCUGAAUUGGAUGUCUUACUCAGUUUUGCUGAUUUGGCUUCUAGUUGUCCAACUCCCUACACAAGACCUGACAUCUCACCAUCAGAUGUGGGAGAUAUUAUAUUAGAAGGGAGUAGACAUCCUUGUGUGGAAGCUCAAGACUGGGUUAAUUUUAUACCAAAUGAUUGCAAACUUGUCAGGGGAAAGAGUUGGUUCCAAAUAAUCACAGGGCCUAAUAUGGGUGGAAAAUCCACAUUUAUUCGGCAAGUUGGUGUGAAUAUUCUUAUGGCGCAAGUUGGUUCCUUUGUUCCUUGUGACAAGGCUAGUAUUUCAGUUCGUGAUUGCAUUUUUGCUCGUGUGGGUGCUGGUGACUGCCAACUUCGUGGAGUUUCUACCUUUAUGCAAGAAAUGCUUGAAACUGCUUCAAUACUGAAAGGAGCUACAGAUAAGUCAUUGAUAAUCAUUGAUGAGUUAGGCCGUGGGACAUCAACUUAUGAUGGAUUUGGUUUAGCUUGGGCUAUAUGUGAACACCUUGUUCAAGUGAUUAAAGCACCUACAUUAUUUGCAACCCACUUUCAUGAACUGACUGCCUUAGCUGAUGAAAAAGCCGAGUCCCAUACAAAGCAUAUUGUUGGUGUGGCAAAUUAUCAUGUUAGUGCACACAUUGACUCGUCAAAUUGCAAGCUGACGAUGCUUUACAAGGUUGAACCAGGGGCUUGUGAUCAAAGUUUUGGUAUUCAUGUUGCAGAAUUUGCAAAUUUUCCUAAAAGUGUUGUUGCUCUUGCUCGAGAAAAGGCAGCUGAGUUGGAAGAUUUCUCACCUAAUGCUAUUUUUUCAAAUGACACUGCAGAAAAGGUGCGUUUUAGUGAUCUUGCAGUGCCAUUGGGAGGACAAUUGCUUUAAAAUGCAUAUGAUGAUGGGUAGGAACAUUGUAAUUAUUGUUGUAGUUGAUGCUUUGGGAAAUGUCAAGUGUUUGAAGUUUCAUACUACUCUAGACUGCCAUAUUAUUUUUAUCCUAAAAGGCAAGUAUUGAGCCCUGGGUUCAUCCAAACCCCUAAUCCACCCUUUACUGCAUGACCCAAGGCCACAGGAGGCACUUUGGAUACUUUACAAAUUAUUAAGACCAAUGAGCUAGAGGCACCACUUAAGUUCUAGCAAAGAGUCAAGUUGAUUCACUUGGUUAAAGAAAGUGCAGGUAGAGAACAAAAAUAGAAAUUUGAGAUUUCAGUAAAUAUGAAACAGGCAAUUUUAUGUCUUAAAUUUAUAUUUUUUGAGGUUGCUCUCUAUAGAGAUAGUAGGAGCUAUGUGGUGACAAUUUGUGCAAUUGGUUAAAUCAUUUUCAAAGCUUCCAUCUCAGUAAGCUUAAGCUUUCAAAGGUGAAACUGUUAUGCUACUUGCUAUGCAAUCUUAAUUCUUAAUUGUAUGAAUUGCAAGAACUUUUGUUUUUUGUAAGGUUUUACAUGAUGGAACAAUUUGCUUUUGGUUUUUGGUUGCUGAUAACAAAUUUUCCCACUCUGGAAAGCUUACCAAGGUAUAACAUUUUAAAAUUUGAAAUGUUUUUGUUUAUGCAUUUAACUCUUGGUCCGAGAAAGGUUUUAGCAGUAGAUGGUCGACACACACAGUUGGACAAUGUGUAAAUUGUAAUGUGCCAAGUGUCCAGAAAAGAAUAUUGAUUACUGAAAGAUUACAAACCACUCCUUUCAUGAGCAAUUUGACCAAAUUACGUGUCUUUAGCUCUUUCAUGUGUCAAAGAUUUGCACUUGUGAUCUGACCUUGAGAAGUUGAAGAAAAAGUAAUUCAUGCCAUAUAAUGACAGCAUUAUAUUACUCUCAAAGUAUUGAUUUUGUUGAAUAUGAUUUACAGGUGGGAUCCAAACGAAAAAGAUCCUGUGAUCUCGAGGACAUGUCUAGGGGUGCAGCUCAUGCUCACCGGUUUCUGAAAGCGUUCUCUGAUUUGCCACUAGAGACUAUGGAUUUGAAGGAGGCUCUGCACCAAGUAAGCAAGCUGAAGAAUGACUUGGAGAGGGAUGCAGCAAAUUGCCGCUGGCUCAAGCAAUUUUUCUAGUUGUCCUUGCAACAACACAGGUAGCAGUAUUUGCAUGUUGGAUGUUUUAUAAGGUCGAUGAAAGUAUCAGGCACUAAAAUGCUCCACUUCCCUCCAAUUUUGUGUGAAUAAAGU
RNAcentral lists this unclassified non-coding RNA (4050 nucleotides) under Hevea brasiliensis (rubber tree). The record is from RNAcentral. Lineage: Eukaryota; Viridiplantae; Streptophyta; Magnoliopsida; Malpighiales; Euphorbiaceae.